UCUUCUCUGGAACACUCCCUCCAGAACUUGGUAAUUUAGUCAAGCUCGAGGAAAUUUACAUUGACAGCUGUGGACUCAGUGGUGAAAUUCCUUCAACAUUUGCCAAGCUCACCAACAUGCAAACCCUCUGGGCAUCGGACAGUCCGUACUCAGGAAAGAUACCUGAUUUCAUAGGGAAUUGGACACA
Non-coding RNA from Malus domestica (apple), 187 nucleotides. The record is from RefSeq and is a predicted model, not a curated record. Lineage: Eukaryota; Viridiplantae; Streptophyta; Magnoliopsida; Rosales; Rosaceae.